GGCGUGCCUAAUACAUGCAAGUCGAGCGAACUGAUUAGAAGCUUGCUUCUAUGACGUUAGCGGCGGACGGGUGAGUAACACGUGGGCAACCUGCCUGUAAGACUGGGAUAACUUCGGGAAACCGAAGCUAAUACCGGAUAGGAUCUUCUCCUUCAUGGGAGAUGAUUGAAAGAUGGUUUCGGCUAUCACUUACAGAUGGGCCCGCGGUGCAUUAGCUAGUUGGUGAGGUAACGGCUCACCAAGGCAACGAUGCAUAGCCGACCUGAGAGGGUGAUCGGCCACACUGGGACUGAGACACGGCCCAGACUCCUACGGGAGGCAGCAGUAGGGAAUCUUCCGCAAUGGACGAAAGUCUGACGGAGCAACGCCGCGUGAGUGAUGAAGGCUUUCGGGUCGUAAAACUCUGUUGUUAGGGAAGAACAAGUACAAGAGUAACUGCUCGUACCUUGACGGUACCUAACCAGAAAGCCACGGCUAACUACGUGCCAGCAGCCGCGGUAAUACGUAGGUGGCAAGCGUUAUCCGGAAUUAUUGGGCGUAAAGCGCGCGCAGGCGGUUUCUUAAGUCUGAUGUGAAAGCCCACGGCUCAACCGUGGAGGGUCAUUGGAAACUGGGGAACUUGAGUGCAGAAGAGAAAAGCGGAAUUCCACGUGUAGCGGUGAAAUGCGUAGAGAUGUGGAGGAACACCAGUGGCGAAGGCGGCUUUUU
This 708-nucleotide ribosomal RNA is filed under the name Bacillus sp. (in: firmicutes). RNAcentral describes it as "bacterial SSU rRNA". It matches the Rfam family "Bacterial small subunit ribosomal RNA", at positions 41 to 730 of the family's 1533-position model. Lineage: Bacteria; Bacillati; Bacillota; Bacilli; Caryophanales; Bacillaceae. The record is from RNAcentral.